RNAcentral lists this ribosomal RNA (453 nucleotides) under uncultured organism. Its description in RNAcentral is "bacterial SSU rRNA". It matches the Rfam family "Bacterial small subunit ribosomal RNA", at positions 346 to 794 of the family's 1533-position model. The record is from RNAcentral.
GUGCAGCAGUCGCGAAUCUUCGGCAAUGGGGGAAACCCUGACCGAGCGACGCCGCGUGUGGGAUGAAGGCCCUUGGGUUGUAAACCACUGUCAGAGGGGAUGAAAUGCCGGAAAGUUAUCUCUCCGGUUUGACAUAGCCUCAGAGGAAGCACGGGCUAAGUUCGUGCCAGCAGCCGCGGUAAGACGAACUGUGCAAACGUUAUUCGGAAUCACUGGGCUUGAAGAGUGCGUAGGCGGUUUCGUAAGUAGGGUGUGAAAGCCCCCGGCUCAACCGGGGAAUUGCGUCCUAAACUGCGAGGCUGGAGUGAGGUAGGGGUGUGUGGAGCUUCCAGUGGAGCGGUGAAAUGUGUUGAUAUUGGAAGGAACGCCGGUGGCGAAAGCGACACACUGGACCUUGUCUGACGCUGAGGCACGAAAGCCAGGGGAGCAAACGGGAUUAGAUACCCGUGUAGU